UUGGGCCAGCUACCCUGCUGGGCUGUGGCUCCUUGGUCAGCUCUGCGAGCAGGGACAGACCCCAGACUGGGAACAUCAUCCAUCCCAGACAGGAGCUCCUCUGUCUAGCUGGAGAGGAAAACACCAAAAGAAGGAAAGACAGCGCUGUGUGGCAAGGCCGGUAUGGGAGAACACACGGUUCUGAAAGGGCACAGAGGAGGAAACUCCUGCCUUCCUGGGCAAUCCAAGCAGGAGUCCCGGAGGAGGUGGCAGUUCCUAAAAAAGGCGAAAGGGGUCUGCCAGCUGGAGCAGCAGGCUGUGCCAAGGCGGGCACAGGCAGGAGCAACAGGCUUGUGCAGUUGAAGCAAGCGGGGUGGGAGGAGUCUGGGGAGGCCAGGAAGGCGGGUGCAGUGAGAGCACAUGGCCUCCUGGGCCAGCUGGGGGAGCAGGAACCUCAUCCUUCGGCAGGCAGUGAUGCCUGGGCUGGAAACACCAGGCUGGGAGCGAGCCACCGAUCCAGAGGCGGCUCUAUGAGCCUUUGGCCGGGAACGCCGCCGCCAAGGGCCUGGCCUGGGGCUGGGAAACUCUUUUGCCUUGGAUCUGGCAGGAAGACUGAUGGCCUGCUGCUGGGCUUGGGCCCGGCCUCGGCCUCGGAGACCCCUGGGUCUGCUUCAGGCGCCUAAUGAAAUGCUUGGAAGAGCAGAUGGUCGUAGUAUUUUGGCUUGGAGAGAAAUGUGAGUCCUGUAGGGCCCCAGGCGGGCACUGGGGGCUGGAGGAGAGGCCAAAUGUGCUCUGGCCAUUCUCCGAGGCCCACGAGAAUCCACUCAACCUGAGCCCCCAGCAGGAUCUUAGGCUGGGCCUGGGGCCAGCCUGGGGGUCCCAAUAGGAGUUGAGUUGUAAGGAGGUCUGAGCUCUGCAGUCCUCUCAUCCUCCUAUUGGUGCAAACUGCUCAGGGAGGGGCCUGCAGUGCAGCACGUACUAGGCACCGAGUUCUUCUGAAGGAGGAAAAGGCCGAAGCAUGGGGGCUUAGAGGAGCCCAGAAGGCCCUAACCCAGCUUAGGCAGGCAAGGAAGACUUCCUGGAGGAGCUGGUGCCCAACCCAAGUCCUAAAGUAGGAGUCAGUCAGGGUAGAUGGGGAAGGGAACGAUGGAAGAACAUGGGCGGGCACAGGCCACCUGGAGUCGGGCACAGCCACAGGUACAGAGGGGCCCCAGCAGGAAGUGAGGUGGGGACAGUCUCAAAGGCUUCUGUCAGUCCUCUUUGAAAUUGAGGCUGUAAAUUGUCCUGAGG
RNAcentral lists this long non-coding RNA (1269 nucleotides) under Mustela putorius furo (domestic ferret). Its description in RNAcentral is "lncRNA (ENSMPUG00000025693.1)". The record is from RNAcentral. Lineage: Eukaryota; Metazoa; Chordata; Mammalia; Carnivora; Mustelidae.